Molecule: unclassified non-coding RNA, 1178 nt
Filed under: Hevea brasiliensis (rubber tree)
Lineage: Eukaryota; Viridiplantae; Streptophyta; Magnoliopsida; Malpighiales; Euphorbiaceae
Source: RNAcentral
UUUUUAAUUUCAUUUCUUCCCUUUAACUAACGCCCAACCUGACCCCGCCGUGACCGACUCAACAUUUCCAGCUUCGCCAGCACGUUGCUGCUGGUGCCGCCGCCCUAAACGCUUCAUCCGCGAUCUCCGACGAUUCCUUCUCUAAUCCUGUUUCUCUAAUAUCAAUUAUGAGAGAAGAUAUCUCAAUAUUUGCAGAUCUAUAGAUUUUUUUUUUUUAGAUUUUUUUUUGAGAAAAAUUGGUAGAUUUUGGCCAUGGCGACGAGGAAUAGGACCAUAUUAUUUAGGAAGUAUAGAGAUGCUUUGAAGAGCGUUAGAGUUCCAGCGAGCUCGUCGACUCAUUUGGCAACGUCGAAAAGUUCCGGCGGAGGACCGGUGAUCGAGUUAGUGAGCACUUCGCUUCUCCAAAAUCGCUCUUAUGCUCCACUUAGUACUGAGGAUCCCGGUAACUCGAGUAAAGGUGCACUCACAGUUGGUCUACCACCAGCUUGGGUGGAUGUGUCUGAAGAAAUAGCUGCAAAUGUGCAGCGUGCACGCUCAAAAAUGACCGAGUUAGCCAAGGCUCAUGCUAAAGCUUUGAUGCCUUCAUUUGGAGAUGGUAAAGAAGAUCAGCGAAUGAUUGAGGCUCUAACUCAUGAGAUAACUGAUCUUAUAAGGAAAUCAGAGAAGAAAUUACAAAGACUUUCUGCAGCUGGGCCUUCUGAGGAUUCAAAUGUGAGAAAAAAUGUACAGCGCUCUCUUGCCACUGACCUUCAGAACCUUUCAAUGGAACUUCGCAAGAAACAGUCAACUUACUUGAAGCGCCUUAGGCAACAAAAAGAGGGUCAGGAUGGGGUUGAUUUAGAGAUGAACCUUAAUGGUAGUAGAUCUAGCAUAGAUGACGAAACUUUGGAUGACAUGGUGUUUACUGAGCGUCAAAUGGCCAAGCUGAAAAAGAGUGAGGCAUUCACAGCAGAAAGAGAAAGAGAGAUCCAGCAGGUUGUGGAAUCAGUAAAUGAGCUUGCUCAAAUUAUGAAGGACUUGUCAGUGCUUGUAAUAGACCAGGGUACCAUUGUUGAUAGGAUAGAUUACAACAUUCAGAAUGUUGCAACUACAGUUGAGGAGGGUCUUAAACAGUUGCAAAAGGUGACUUCCUUAUCCACAUUGGUUGCGCACGAGUGCGCGCGCACACACACACACAC